Molecule: long non-coding RNA, 334 nt
Filed under: Malus domestica (apple)
Lineage: Eukaryota; Viridiplantae; Streptophyta; Magnoliopsida; Rosales; Rosaceae
Description: long non-coding RNA (MDOM_LNC000980)
Source: RNAcentral
UCACUAUCUUCAUCAUCUCUAUGUGUAGAUUUGUUUCUUGCAAAAAGAAUUCAAAACAAAACCAUAUAUAUAAAUAUUUUAGCAUAUUUUCACAAAAACAUAAGUGAUAUGGUGGUCAAGGUGUUGAAGGAGUAAAAUGGGAGGGGUUCAAAUCCCUUGGUGUGGUGUUUUUUUAAAUAUAGAAAUUUAUCCUAGAUAAUAAAUAUUAGGGUAAAUUACACAAAACUACCUCAACUAUUAGGGUUUUAUUUAUUUGUUUAUUUAUUUUUUUCUAGGUUGCAGGUAGUGGGUGCGGCGUGUAACACCCCAACCCCCAAUUAUAUGUAUAAUUUCG